UGGGGAAUAUUGCACAAUGGGCGCAAGCCUGAUGCAGCAACGCCGCGUGAGGGAUGACGGCCUUCGGGUUGUAAACCUCUUUUAGCAGGGAAGAAGCGAAAGUGACGGUACCUGCAGAAAAAGCGCCGGCUAACUACGUGCCAGCAGCCGCGGUAAUACGUAGGGCGCAAGCGUUAUCCGGAAUUAUUGGGCGUAAAGAGCUCGUAGGCGGUUUGUCGCGUCUGCUGUGAAAUCCCGAGGCUCAACCUCGGGUCUGCAGUGGGUACGGGCAGACUAGAGUGCGGUAGGGGAGAUUGGAAUUCCUGGUGUAGCGGUGGAAUGCGCAGAUAUCAGGAGGAACACCGAUGGCGAAGGCAGAUCUCUGGGCCGUAACUGACGCUGAGGAGCGAAAGGGUGGGGAGCAAACAGGCUUAGAUACCCUGGUAGUCCACCCCGUAAACGUUGGGAACUAGUUGUGGGGUCCAUUCCACGGAUUCCGUGACGCAGCUAACGCAUUAAGUUCCCCGCCUGGGGAGUACGGCCGCAAGGCUA
This 531-nucleotide ribosomal RNA is filed under the name uncultured bacterium. RNAcentral's name for it is "bacterial SSU rRNA". It matches the Rfam family "Bacterial small subunit ribosomal RNA", at positions 355 to 896 of the family's 1533-position model. The record is from RNAcentral.